AGAAUGAACGUUGGCGGCGUGGAUUAGGCAUGCAAGUCGAGCGGGAGUAGCAAUACUCUAGCGGCGUAAGGGACAGUAACACGUAGAUCACCUACCCUCAGAUUCGGGAUAGCUGCGGGAAACUGCAGGUAAUACCGAAUAAUGUCUCCGGACCAAAGGUGUGAUUCCGUCCGAGGAUGGGUCUGCGUCCUAUUAGCUAGUUGGUAGGGUAAUGGCCUACCAAGGCAAUGAUGGGUAGUGGGUGUGAGAGCACGACCCGCGUCACUGGGACUGAGACACUGCCCAGACACCUACGGGUGGCUGCAGUCGAGGAUCUUCGGCAAUGGGCGCAAGCCUGACCGAGCGACGCCGCGUGCGGGAUGAAGGCCUUCGGGUUGUAAACCGCUGUCAGUGGGGAGAAAAUGUACGGAGGUUCUCCUUCGUAUUUGAUCUAUCCGCAGAGGAAGUGUGGGCUAAGUUCGUGCCAGCAGCCGCGGU
Molecule: ribosomal RNA, 477 nt
Filed under: uncultured bacterium
Lineage: Bacteria
Description: SSU rRNA
Rfam family: Bacterial small subunit ribosomal RNA
Source: RNAcentral